RNAcentral lists this long non-coding RNA (332 nucleotides) under Junco hyemalis (dark-eyed junco). RNAcentral describes it as "lncRNA (ENSJHYG00000017974.1)". Lineage: Eukaryota; Metazoa; Chordata; Aves; Passeriformes; Passerellidae. The record is from RNAcentral.
GAAUCUACCAAGAAACUUCUGGUUUGAUUGUUAUAGUUUAAACAUAGAUUUAUCUUUUCUUUAGGGUGACCGUGGACCAGCAGGAGCACCAGGACUGUCAGGGACACCGGGAAAGCCGGGAUCUCCUGGGUCCCCAGGCUUGCCAGGAGAACCUGUAAGUGCAGAUUUGAGUUCUGGAUUCUUACAAUAGCAAACAAAUAUUUAAGACACCUAGUGCAAGAUUUUUCAUGCAGUGUUUUCAUGUGUGUUUUCUUCUUCCUUAGGGUGAAAGAGGACCUAUAGGAGAUAUAGGCUUCCCUGGUCCAGAAGGGCCCCAAGGAAAACCAGUAAGC